GACAAUCCAUACCGGCUAUGAGAGUAGGAGCCGGGAGAUGGAUACUGAGACAAGGAUCCAGGCUCUACGGAGCGCAGCAGGCGCGAAAACUCCGCAAUGCGCGCAAGCGUGACGGGGGAACUCUAAGUGUCUCUCAAAAGAGAGACUUUUGUAGUAUGUAAAAAGUACUACGAAUAAGGACAGGUCAAGACUAGUGCCAGCCUCCGCGGUAAAACUAGCUGUUCAAGUGGUAGUCACGAUUAUUGGGCUUAAAGCGUCCGUAGCCGGUUUAGAAAGUUUUCUGUGAAAUCCUUAAGCUUAACUUAAAGGACUUGCAGGAAAUACUCCUAAACUUGGGGUUGGGUGGGGUUGAAAGAAUUCCUAGGGUAGCGGUGAAAUGCUAUAAUCCUAGGAAGACUACCGAUGGCGAAGGCAUUCAACUAGAACAAGCCCGACGGUGAGGGACGAGAGCUAGGGGAGCAAACCGGAUUAGAUACCCGGGUAGUCCUAGCUGUAAACGAUGCAGACUGAGUGUUUCUUGAACUUUGGGUUCGAGAAGUGCUGAAGGGAAACCGUUAAGUCUGCCGUCUGGGGAGUACGGUCGCAAGACUGAAACUUAAAGGAAUUGGCGGGGGAGCACCACAAGGGGUGGAGUCUGCGGUUCAAUUGGAUACAACGCCGGGAAACUUACCAGGGACGACGGCACAAUGAAGGUCAGUUUAAAGUGCUUACUGGAGGAGCCGAGAGGUAGUGCAUGGCCGUCGUCAGCUCGUACCGUGAGGCGUGCGGUUAAGUCCGUUAACGAGCGAGACCCGUACCUCUAUUUGCUACUUUUUUUAAAUAAAAAAGGCACUAUAGAGGGACCGCUGGCGAUAAGUCAGAGGAGGGCGCGGGCGACGAUAGGUCAGUAUGCUCCGAAUUUCCUGGGCUACACGUGGACUACAAUGGCAUGGACAAUGAGUUGCAACUCCGAGAGGAGAGAGCCAAUCCCCUAAACCAUGUCUCAGUUCAGAUCGUGCUUUGAAACUCAGGCACGUGAAGGUGAAAUCCCUAGUAAUCGCUGGUAACUAUCCAGCGGUGAAUAUGUCCCCGCUCCUUGCACACACCGCCCGUCAAACCAACUGAGUAAGCUUAGAAUGAGGCGUUCUCUUUAGGGGACGUCAAAUUCU
This 1148-nucleotide ribosomal RNA is filed under the name uncultured archaeon. RNAcentral's name for it is "bacterial SSU rRNA". It matches the Rfam family "Archaeal small subunit ribosomal RNA", at positions 259 to 1411 of the family's 1478-position model. The record is from RNAcentral.